This 253-nucleotide ribosomal RNA is filed under the name uncultured bacterium. RNAcentral's name for it is "partial 16S ribosomal RNA". It matches the Rfam family "Bacterial small subunit ribosomal RNA", at positions 524 to 776 of the family's 1533-position model. The record is from RNAcentral.
UACGUAGGGUGCGAGCGUUAAUCGGAAUUACUGGGCGUAAAGCGUGCGCAGGCGGUUUUGUAAGUCAGAUGUGAAAUCCCCGGGCUUAACCUGGGAACUGCAUUUGUGACUGCAUGGCUGGAGUGCGGCAGAGGGGGAUGGAAUUCCGCGUGUAGCAGUGAAAUGCGUAGAGAUGUGGAGGAAUACCGAUGGCGAAGGCAGCCUCCUGGGCCAACACUGACGCUCAUGCACGAAAGCGUGGGGAGCAAACAGG